This 234-nucleotide ribosomal RNA is filed under the name uncultured bacterium. Its description in RNAcentral is "partial 16S ribosomal RNA". It matches the Rfam family "Bacterial small subunit ribosomal RNA", at positions 15 to 244 of the family's 1533-position model. The record is from RNAcentral.
GAUCAUGGCUCAGGACGAACGCUGGCGGCGCGCCUAACACAUGCAAGUCGAACGAGAGAGAAGGAGCUUGCUUCUUCGAUCGAGUGGCGAACGGGUGAGUAACGCGUGAGGAACCUGCCUCAAAGAGGGGGACAACAGUUGGAAACGACUGCUAAUACCGCAUAAGCCCACGGGUCGGCAUCGACCUGAGGGAAAGGAGCAUACCGCUUUGUAGAUGGCCUCGCGUCCGAUUAG